UAGGGAAUAUUGCACAAUGGGGGAAACCCUGAUGCAGCGACGCCGCGUGAGUGAUGAAGGCCUUCGGGUCGUAAAGCUCUGUCGUAUGGGACUAACAAAAUGAAGGUACCAUGCAAGAAAGGAUCGGCUAACUUCGUGCCAGCAGCCGCGGUAAGACGAGGGAUCCUAGCGUUGUUCGGAAUUAUUGGGCGUAAAGCGGGUGUAGGCGGACUUAUAAGUCAGGUGUGAAAUCCCAGGGCUCAACCCUGGAAGUGCACUUGAUACUGCAAGUCUUGAGUGUGGUAGAGGCUAUUAGAAUUCCUGGUGUAGUGGUGAAAUACGUAGAUAUCAGGAGGAAUACCGGAGGCGAAGGCGGAUAGCUGGGCCAACACUGACGCUGAGACCCGAAAGCGUGGGGAUCAAACAGGAUUAGAUACCCCAGUAGUCCCUGAGCGGGCUGGCAAGGCGCAU
This 450-nucleotide ribosomal RNA is filed under the name uncultured bacterium. RNAcentral describes it as "bacterial SSU rRNA". It matches the Rfam family "Bacterial small subunit ribosomal RNA", at positions 355 to 825 of the family's 1533-position model. The record is from RNAcentral.